Molecule: ribosomal RNA, 485 nt
Filed under: uncultured bacterium
Lineage: Bacteria
Description: bacterial SSU rRNA
Rfam family: Bacterial small subunit ribosomal RNA
Source: RNAcentral
AUUGAACGCUGGCGGCAGGCCUAACACAUGCAAGUCGAGCGGUAGAGAGAAGCAAGCUUCUCUUGAGAGCGGCGGACGGGUGAGUAAUGCCUAGGAAUCUGCCUGGUAGUGGGGGAUAACGUUCGGAAACGGACGCUAAUACCGCAUACGUCCUACGGGAGAAAGCAGGGGACCUUCGGGCCUUGCGCUAUCAGAUGAGCCUAGGUCGGAUUAGCUAGUUGGUGAGGUAAUGGCUCACCAAGGCGACGAUCCGUAACUGGUCUGAGAGGAUGAUCAGUCACACUGGAACUGAGACACGGUCCAGACUCCUACGGGAGGCAGCAGUGGGGAAUAUUGGACAAUGGGCGAAAGCCUGAUCCAGCCAUGCCGCGUGUGUGAAGAAGGUCUUCGGAUUGUAAAGCACUUUAAGUUGGGAGGAAGGGCAUUAACCUAAUACGUUAGUGUUUUGACGUUACCGACAGAAUAAGCACCGGCUAACUCUGUGC